This 203-nucleotide long non-coding RNA is filed under the name Mytilus galloprovincialis (Mediterranean mussel). Lineage: Eukaryota; Metazoa; Mollusca; Bivalvia; Mytilida; Mytilidae. The record is from RNAcentral.
UAUUUGUACAGUAUUGUACAUCAAAACUUACAAGGUUAAAUCUAUAUAAUGGUGUGUAUAAUCGUUACAGAAUAUAUCAUCUAUGUCAGUUAAUAGGACGUAGUUCAUCUUUUUCAGGGACCUACAUUGGUGAACUUAUGGAUUGUAAAAUUGUUACAUAUAAAAAGAGUUAUCUUGCUUUUCUCAAUAGUGCACGGACCUAA